UUUAAAUUAUUGACACCUCUUUUGGAAGUGAAUCAAGCAAUAUAAGCUUGGUC
Molecule: long non-coding RNA, 53 nt
Filed under: Eurytemora carolleeae
Lineage: Eukaryota; Metazoa; Arthropoda; Copepoda; Calanoida; Temoridae
Description: uncharacterized LOC111715349
Source: RNAcentral